AACGAACGCUGGCGGCAUGCCUAACACAUGCAAGUCGAACGAGACCUUCGGGUCUAGUGGCGCACGGGUGCGUAACGCGUGGGAACCUGCCCUUAGGUUCGGAAUAACUCCCCGAAAGGGGUGCUAAUACCGGAUAAUGUCUUCGGACCAAAGAUUUAUCGCCUUUGGAUGGGCCCGCGUUGGAUUAGCUAGUUGGUAGGGUAAAAGCCUACCAAGGCGACGAUCCAUAGCUGGUCUGAGAGGAUGAUCAGCCACACUGGGACUGAGACACGGCCCAGACUCCUACGGGAGGCAGCAGUGGGGAAUAUUGGACAAUGGGCGAAAGCCUGAUCCAGCAAUGCCGCGUGAGUGAUGAAGGCCUUAGGGUUGUAAAGCUCUUUUACCCGGGAUGAUAAUGACAGUACCGGGAGAAUAAGCUCCGGCUAAUUCCGU
This 432-nucleotide ribosomal RNA is filed under the name uncultured bacterium. RNAcentral describes it as "partial 16S ribosomal RNA". It matches the Rfam family "Bacterial small subunit ribosomal RNA", at positions 29 to 506 of the family's 1533-position model. The record is from RNAcentral.